UGCAGUCGAACGGCAGCACAGAGGAGCUUGCUCCUUGGGUGGCGAGUGGCGGACGGGUGAGGAAUACGUCGGAAUCUGCCUAUUUGUGGGGGAUAACGUAGGGAAACUUACGCUAAUACCGCAUACGACCUACGGGUGAAAGUGGGGGACCGCAAGGCCUCACGCAGAUAGAUGAGCCGACGUCGGAUUAGCUAGUUGGCGGGGUAAAGGCCCACCAAGGCGACGAUCCGUAGCUGGUCUGAGAGGAUGAUCAGCCACACUGGAACUGAGACACGGUCCAGACUCCUACGGGAGGCAGCAGUGGGGAAUAUUGGACAAUGGGCGCAAGCCUGAUCCAGCCAUGCCGCGUGUGUGAAGAAGGCCUUCGGGUUGUAAAGCACUUUUGUCCGGAAAGAAAAGCUUAGGGUUAAUAACCUUGAGUCAUGACGGUACCGGAAGAAUAAGCACCGGCUAACUUCGUGCCAGCAGCCGCGGUAAUACGAAGGGUGCAAGCGUUACUCGGAAUUACUGGGCGUAAAGCGUGCGUAGGUGGUUUGUUAAGUCUGAUGUGAAAGCCCUGGGCUCAACCUGGGAAUGGCAUUGGAAACUGGCUUACUAGAGUGCGGUAGAGGGGUGUGGAAUUCCCGGU
RNAcentral lists this ribosomal RNA (628 nucleotides) under uncultured Lysobacter sp. RNAcentral describes it as "bacterial SSU rRNA". It matches the Rfam family "Bacterial small subunit ribosomal RNA", at positions 56 to 674 of the family's 1533-position model. The record is from RNAcentral. Lineage: Bacteria; Pseudomonadati; Pseudomonadota; Gammaproteobacteria; Lysobacterales; Lysobacteraceae.